RNAcentral lists this ribosomal RNA (460 nucleotides) under uncultured bacterium. Its description in RNAcentral is "partial 16S ribosomal RNA". It matches the Rfam family "Bacterial small subunit ribosomal RNA", at positions 338 to 795 of the family's 1533-position model. The record is from RNAcentral.
CCUACGGGAGGCAGCAGUGAGGAAUAUUGGUCAAUGGACGAGAGUCUGAACCAGCCAAGUAGCGUGAAGGAUGACUGCCCUAUGGGUUGUAAACUUCUUUUAUAUGGGAAUAAAAUGGUCCACGUGUGGGAUACUGUAUGUACCAUAUGAAUAAGGAUCGGCUAACUCCGUGCCAGCAGCCGCGGUAAUACGGAGGAUCCGAGCGUUAUCCGGAUUUAUUGGGUUUAAAGGGAGCGUAGGUGGAUUGUUAAGUCAGUUGUGAAAGUUCGCGGCUCAACCGUAAAAUUGCAGUUGAAACUGGCAGUCUUGAGUGCAGUAGAGGUGGGCGGAAUUCGUGGUGUAGCGGUGAAAUGCUUAGAUAUCACGAAGAACUCCGAUUGCGAAGGCAGCUCACUGGACUGCAACUGACGCUGAGGCUCGAAAGUGUGGGUAUCAAACAGGAUUAGAUACCCCAGUAGUC